RNAcentral lists this long non-coding RNA (7072 nucleotides) under Solanum tuberosum (potato). RNAcentral's name for it is "long non-coding RNA (STUB_LNC010140)". The record is from RNAcentral. Lineage: Eukaryota; Viridiplantae; Streptophyta; Magnoliopsida; Solanales; Solanaceae.
UUAAUAAAAAUAAAAAUAUAAUUAAAAAUUUUAUAAUAGAUAAUUAAAAUAAUCUUAAUAUUAAAAGUACAAUAAUACUUGUAAUCAACUCUCAAAAAAUGCUCUCUAGGAAAAACCUAAAAACCAAAACCCUCGAAAAGUGGCGGCCAUAUGGUUGACACCACGGCCGGUUGGAUCACCCCACCAUAUGACUUUCCACCCUUAGCCAACAAAGACAACACCUUAACCCAAUCUACUCAUACCCAUACAGAUCCCAACAGGACCCAAUACGCCAAUCUACUUAAACUUAAAAUCAUCGCUCCUCAAAUCCAGUGGUACCUGCUAAAUCAGUAUUGAUUUUAAUCGGAAGUCAGAUUACUUCUCAUUAAGGAGCUGAACCUUCAAUAUGUAAUCAUAGGGAAAUUCUUGUAUGUCAAACCUCAUGUUACAGAGUUGAGGAGGACAAUUUCGGGUCAAUGCGGUAUCAAAAGUGGAUGCUCAAUAGGGGUGUUGGAUACAAGACACAUACUGAUCAGACUCGCAACAAUGGAGGAUUACGUACAUGUAUUGUCCACACCAGCCUUCCAUGUUAAGACAAAAAAUAACUAUUGACAAAUAUGCACUCUUAAAUGGACCCAUGAUUUGAACCGGAUGUAGAAAUGAUUAUCAAGGUGGCAUGGAUAUAUUUUCCAGUUCUACUACCAAAUUUUCUUGCAAAGGAGGCUAUUUUUUCUAUUUCCAAUGCAGUGGGCAUACCCCUAAUGAUGGAUAUGGAAACAAAGAAUCAAACAAGACCUAGCUAUGCAAGAGUCAAAUAGGAAGUGGAUCUGACUGCAAAGCUACCCUAAAGAGUGAUUAUUAACGAGGAAGAUGAUAUUACAGGGAAUAUCAAAUCCAAAUGGAUUAAGGUGCAAUGCGAUUAUAUGCCUAAAUAUUGCACGGAAUGUUGUCUGCAAGGUCAUGAUGAACAAAAUUGUUGCACAAUUCAUGCUGAAUUGUAUGCUACUAAGAGUGAAACGGGACUCAGAAGGAAAUAUAUCGAACAUUAUUGGCACAUUGGCAGCCUGAAGGAAAACUCUCACAAGCGGUAACGUAGUAGAAAACAAACAAAAUAGACAAGAAUGGAUGGUAAGAAGAAGGAACAAAUACAAGAGGGAUAAAUAUGGACAUAUAGAAAGGACAAUCAACUACCAAGACAAAAACAAUUUUGAAGCACUAAGAGAGGUAGAAGAGGUUGAUACAGGAGAAAACAAAGAAGACAAAAUAGAAAGGGAAAGCACUAAAGAUUGGGUGAACAAAAUUUUUACCAACAAGGAGCAGAGAGAAUCAGAAAGUUAAGGAGAAUGUCAACAAAGGCAAUGGAGAGAUUGCAGGGGCAGAACAAAGUGUGGAUGAUACAAUUUAAAGCAUUCAAGAAAAUCAAGAAGGUAGAAGUGGAGAUGAAGACAUUGGAGCUGAUAAAAAUGAGGAAGAAGGGAAUCAUAAGAUCAAUGAAGGGGCUAUAGUAGUGGUAGAAAUGAAUGAUGAAGAACUCCUACCAUUGACUGUUAAGAUGAAUAUAUGAUGGAUAUUGAUAGGGUAGAGAGGGGGCAUAAUAUAGAUAAGGAUAAUUUAUCCUAGAAUAUCAGUCGGGUGAGGGUGGUGAUUUAUCGCCAAAGCAUACAAGGAACUCAAGGGUAAGUAUACCAAUCAAAGGGAACAAAGUGUAGAAGAUCUUACAAAGGCUCAAGCAUAAUCCAGACGGUCAUAAAGAACGAUUGUCAAAAAUUCCAAAUAUCAAUGAAGGAUUUGAUAUGAAUUAUUAGGUCAGUAAACACCCAAAAAGCGUUUACAAGACUUAUUAAUCUCCAUAAAAGAAGUCAAUUCUAUUUUAUUAAUUUAAUGGAACCAUUUGAAGAUAAUAAAAGACUAGAAAAGUUUAGUAGAAGACUAGGUAUGAAACAUGCAAUAGCUAGUUCCAAUGGGAAGCUUUGGGCUUUUAUCGAUGAUAUUUUGGAGUAUGGAGUAAUAAUAUAGGCGGAUCAGAUGCUAACUAUCAAAGUGCGAAAUCAGAGUUUGGUAUAAAAAAUUUAAUCUCUCUGGUAUAUGCUAAAUGUACUCAAGGCGAAAGAUUCCAGUUAUGGGAGUCGAUGUAUGAUUUGGCAAAUACUAAUAUGAUACCAUUGGUAGUAGGAGGAGAUUUUAAUGUAAUAAAUAACGGGGAAGAAAAACUGGGGGGAUGACCAGUAACAGACUCAGAAGUCAGAGAUUUUAAUCAUUGUAUUAGUAUGUGUAAUUUGGAGGAUAAAAAAUUCAAAGGAAGCAAAUACACGUAGUGGAAUGGUAGAAAGGAUGGAGAGUGCAUUUUCAAAAGACUGGAUAGAGUAUUGUGUAGAUACUUUACAUAAUAUUUUUCCCGUCUUAGAGAUGGAGCAUCUCAUAAGGAGCAGAUCAAAUCAUACACCACUUUUGAUAACUUUCAAGGAGACCACUGAGAAUGUGAUCAAACCGUUCAGAUUUAUGAACUUUUGGCUACAAGAAGAAUCUUUUAUGGGGGUAAUCAAGAACUAUUGGAAAGCGGAUUUUUUAAGGGUGCCGUUUUAGUGUGUUUCAUCAUAAACUAAAGUAGGUCAAGGGUGUUUUGACACAAUGGAGUAAAAAUGUUUUUAGGAAAUAGCCACGCUGGAGAAGGUAAUUAGAGUUCAAGAGGUAGAAUUUGAAGCAAAUUCAUUCUAAUUUAACCAAGAAAUGCUACAAAAGGCACAAUCAGACUUAAAGAAACAAUUACAUAGAGAAGAAGAAUUUUGGAAACAAAAAGCUGGCAUGGAAUGGUUUACAGACACAGAGAAAUACAAAAUUCUUCCACACCAUAAUGAAGGGGAGAAAAAGCAGAUUAUGAGUUAACAAAACUCAGAAUGAAUAUGGGGAAUGGUUAGAAGAUAAAGAAGGAAUUGCACGUGCAACAAUCAAUUUCUACAACAAACAAUUUACUAUGCAAUAGCCAGAAAAGAUUAUUAAAUGUUGAAUAGUUACCGCAAGUUGUGAGUGGAUAUAAGAAUGAGGAACUUCAAGAGAUGCCAAUGAAAGAAGAAGUUAGAAGUGCAGUUGUAUGGUUGAAUCAACAUAAGGCUAGUGGGCCAGAUGGAAUGACAAGGGUGUUUUACCAAAGUGCGUGGGAAAUUAUUGGAGAUGACACCCAUAAAAUGGCUAUGACCUUUUUCUGUGGUGCAGAACUAACUAGAUUCAUCAUACACAUGAACUUUGUACUGAUUCUAAAAAAAAAUGGUGGUUGGCAUAUUUUCAUGUUUGAGGCUUAUAUCUCUAAGAAAUUUUGUGAAUAAUGUUUUUUCACGAAUUAUUCAUGAGAGAAUUAAAGGUGUGCUACCUCAACUAAUCUCACCAGAACAAACAUGAUUUGUACAGGAGAGAAGUAUAUCUGAGAAUGUCCUACUGGUUCAAGAAAUAAUCUCAAAAAUAAGGAAAAUAGGGAAACCACCUAAUUUAGUCAUCAAGAUGGAUAUGAUGAAAGCUUAUGAUCGAGUGGAGUGGACGUUCCUAAUUUUGGAGAGAGAAUCAUUGACAUAAUUUUUAGACUAAUUAGUAACAAUUGGUACUCGAUUUUGUUAAAUGGACAACCGAAAGGUUUUUUAAAAUCCUCAAGAGGUUUAAAUAUCCUUUUUCACCCAAUCUAUUUAUAAUGACAGCUGAAGUGAUGUCUAAAGCCUUAAAUGCCUUAAUGAGAAAGAAAUAAUUUAAAAGGUUUGGUAUGCCGAGAGAAAUUAUAAAGCUAAAUCACUUAGCUUUUGUGGAUGAUAUGAUCAUAUCAUGCAAAGUGGAGAUAGGUGUUAUGAAGAUGAUCAAUGAUACGAUGUAGAAUUAUAAAGAGAUUUCAGGACAUAAAGUGAAUUAGGAGAAAAAUACAAUCUAUUUACACCAUAUUGUUCAUGGUGGAGAGUCAGUGGUGGCAGAAAUAGCUACAAGAAUCUUACGAAAAGAUUUUCAUUUUAUGUAGUUGGGAUGUCUUAUUUUCUACAAAGGGUGGAAAGGUAAGUUAUUAUCUUAUUGGGAAGGGCUUUUAUGAUUAAACAUGUAUUGCAAAGUACCCCUAUACAUUGUUUAUCAUCUAUGAACCCUCCCAGUAACGUUCUGAAUCAACUGCAAAAAAUGUUGGCUCAACUCUUUUGAAGUAGUUGUGUAGGAAGUAGGUGCAGACAUUGGAGUAAAUGGAGUAACUUAUGUCUACAAGAGGAGGAAGGGGGCUUAGGAUUCAGGCUGAUGCAGGAUGUUUCGAUGGCAUUGUUUGGUAAGCUUUGGUGAAAUUACAUAACAAAGCAAACUCUAUUGAGUGAGUACAUGAGAAAUAAAUAUUGCAGGACUACAUAUCAAAAUCCGGCCAUGUGGAAAGUUGGAGGAGAUGGAUCUUUAGUGUGGAAAAAAUAUGUUACAGGCAAGAGAUUUAGUUGAACACCAAAUACUAUGGCAAACUAAGAAUGAUUCAACUUCUCUAAGGCAUGAUAAUUGGACAGGAAUCGGAGACCUGUACACAAUUACAGGAGAUAAACUUUGUCUGGGAUGAUAGAUAUGAAAAUGUUAUGGAUCUUGCAAACCAACGGGCAACGGGAGUGAGAUAUGAGUAUAAUGAAUGACAUUUUACCACCUGAACUGGUUGGACAUAUCAUUAAUCACAUCAAACCUUCUAAAGGGGAAAUUGAAGACAAAUCGUGUUGGAUGCUAGAUACUAGAGGAUCUUUUUCAGUCAAAACAACAUGGAAUUAAAUAAGGCAUAAAGAGUUUUCUAAUACAAUCCAUAUAUUGAUAUGAAAUAAAGGGGUGCCUUUUAAAAUGACCUUGAUAAUGUGGAGGAUGUGGAAGUUUAAGAUUUCAAUGGAUGAUAAUUUGAGAAGAUGGGUCUAUAAGGCCAAUCAAGAUGACGUGUUGUGAUAAAUCUGAUCAGGAAACACCAUCUCAUGUUUUUUAUAAAAUCAGAAAUUGCUGAUAGGAACUUGGUCUUAUUUUUAUUCUUUUGUAGGUCUAAAUUUUACAGGGCUACAAUUACGGGAAGUAAUAAUAUUGUUGUGGGGGACAAACAUUAAAAUACCUUUGAGACCUUAUUAUAGAGAAAUCCCUGACUUUAUAAUAUGGAAAUUCUGGAAAAGAAUAAACAAAAAAGAAGCAUGAAGGAAGAAAUAUUUCAUUGCCAAAAAUCAUCCAUUAUGUGACCAAAUACAUGAGUAUGUUCGUAAAAAUAAAGACACAUGACAUGAGAGGAGAAAGAUGUUGGCCAGAAAUCCUGAAGCAAUUGGAGGACUAUAGACCUAGAGUGAAGGUUAUCCAAGUUAAGUGGGAAUAUCCACCAACAUGAUGGAUUAAAUAUAACAUGGAUGGAGCAUCGAAGGGAAACUCAGGCAAUAGUUUGUAUGCAUAUUAUCUCAAGGAUGAGAAAGGAGAUCUUAUAAAUGCAAAAGAAUCCACGAUAAAAAAUACAACAAACACAAUGGAUGAAGUAAGAGCUAUUCUAUAAGCAAGCAAGCAUUGCAAUAACUCACAAUUUAAUCAGGUUAUCAUCCAAACUGAUUCUAUGUUAAUGAGUGAAGUGUCAAAAGGAAAUUGGGUCACCCCAUGGGUAAUCACAGAUACAGUAGAGGAAAUAAAACAUGUUUGCUAGGCAUACACCAUACAUUUCAGCAUAUUUUGAGGAAGGAAAUCAAUUGACUAUCUAGCAGAUAUGAAUAUUUUAAUAGCCUUGAACCAGAUGACAAAAGAAUAUUAAACAGUGAUUAAAUUUAGAGCUCAUACUUAAGAAUAUCACCAACAGGGAGAUAAUGGGAAGGGGAGGCAAAAACAUAAAUUUUUUCACAUUUACAACAUUUAUAAAAGCCAUAAAGGCGAUAGAAGAGGUGAAAUGCUAAUUAGCCUAGGCUAUCUCACCCAACAACAAUAACUUGGCAAAAUGGAGAUAUCUGGGUUCAGGCACUUAAACUUAGAAGAGGCGCUUAUCACUAGUUUGGAGUGGCAGAUUGGAGCUACCCUAGCACACUAAUCGAGCAAAAAAAGAUGAAGAAAGUGAAUACAGAGAACAUGACAAGUGAGAAAGGUUAGAGUUGCAGUCUUACCUAGUGAAUAAGCCUCCCACCAUCAGAUGGGUUCGAGGAGAAAAAGGUCACUAUACUAGGGUGUGUAUCAGUCGCUACAGUUCGAUUUUAAGUAUUAUCAGUUUGUUUUAUCUAUUUUUGGUUUUUAAAUAUGCUAAACCGAUAACCAAACCAAUAAGAAAUUUGUUAUCAGUUUUUUCAGUUUAUCGGUUUUUGGUCUUUAACGGUUCGGCUUUUGGUUUAACCACUAAGAGAAUGCUUUCAAAACAAAUAUAUGACUUAUCUAACUAUUUGACACGAAAUAAAAAAAGAGAGAAAUUAAAUUACUCAUUGAGUGCGAAAAUUCCACUUAAUGUAGCAAAAUUAUAGCAAAUACUCACAAUUCACAACCCUAGUUGUUGCCUAACCAUUGUUGUCGUCGUUACAAACCCUAAUCGUCGUCGUUCUUAGAUAUAUAGGUUUUGACGUUGUGAAUCUAAAGACUAAAUUAAUACUAAAAACUAAAGGGUAAAUGCAGAGAGCAGAUUUAAGUAGUGUUAAUUGUGCAGGGUCCUUAUAGUUAUAGUUUAAUAUAGUGAUUAUAUUAAUAUUUUUUGUUUGAUAUUUAUGUAUGACUAAAAAUUAAAAUAGUAAAUUAUUAUAUUCUUAAUGAGUUAUCUGUUAACUAAAUAACCCAAUAUUAAAGAGCCAAUAUCAAACCGAUAACCCAAUAACAAUAAACCAAUAACACUUUUUUCGGUUCGAUUAAUCGGUCGAUUUGAUUUUUGCACACCCCUACACUGUACCAGUGAACACAACUAAAGAGAAAAAGUUUAGGAACACUUACAAUAGGAAGAUGAAAGGAUAAGAGGGGAAAUGCUUAUUAUUGGUAGCUGAUCCAAGGUUGCAAGACGAUCCAUACCCUCACAUUAAUGAUCCAUUGAAAAAGGAGGUGGAACUUCUUGUUCAACCACAGAGGGAAUGUCUCUCAGGUGUGAAGACAAGAAGAGGAGAGGCAGGAUUAGGAAAGGAAAGGGAUGAGG